AUAACGCAACUAUAUACAACUUUCAGCAACGGAUCUCUUGGCUCUCGCAUCGAUGAAGAACGCAGCGAAAUGCGAUAAGUAAUGUGAAUUGCAGAAUUCAGUGAAUCAUCGAAUCUUUGAACGCACCUUGCGCUCCUUGGUAUUCCGAGGAGCAUGCCUGUUUGAGUCUCAUGGAAUUCUCAACCUUGCAGUUUUGUUACUGCAAGGCUUGGACUUGGAGGUCGUGUCGGCUCUCGCGAGUCGACUCCUCUGAAAUGCAUUAGUGCGGACGUUACCGGUCGCUUCAGCGUGAUAAUUAUCUGCGCUGCCGUCGACUGGUAUGUGAAGUACGCGCUUCUAACCGUCCUUCACGGGACAAUACAUUGAAACUCUGAGCUCAAAUCAGGUAGGACUACCCGCUGAACUUAAGCAUAUCAAUAAGCGGAGGA
Molecule: ribosomal RNA, 428 nt
Filed under: uncultured fungus
Lineage: Eukaryota; Fungi
Description: eukaryotic LSU rRNA
Rfam family: 5.8S ribosomal RNA (bases 18-171)
Source: RNAcentral